Molecule: long non-coding RNA, 236 nt
Filed under: Bos taurus (domestic cattle)
Lineage: Eukaryota; Metazoa; Chordata; Mammalia; Artiodactyla; Bovidae
Description: long non-coding RNA NONBTAT026296
Source: RNAcentral
GGGCAGACUUUAGGAAGUAUAAGGCAGUAGAGAACCAAAACCCUACCCCCACCAGCCACCCUGACACUCAUUCUCAUCCUCUCUUUCUCUCCUAGUCAGCUCUGAGGCUGCACACUCCUCCCUGAGAAAUGACUGUAUUUAAAGGAAACCUAUUGUAUCUACCUGUAGUCCUCAUUGUUUCCAGAAUGAAGUUGUGAUUAUCUUAUUUAUUUUUUGAAUAAUAAAGAUCUCUUAAC